This 87-nucleotide transfer RNA is filed under the name Alloprevotella tannerae. RNAcentral describes it as "tRNA-Ser". It matches the Rfam family "tRNA". From Rfam's summary of the family: Transfer RNA (tRNA) molecules are approximately 80 nucleotides in length. Their secondary structure includes four short double-helical elements and three loops (D, anti-codon, and T loops). Further hydrogen bonds mediate the characteristic L-shaped molecular structure. tRNAs have two regions of fundamental functional importance: the anti-codon, which is responsible for specific mRNA codon recognition, and the 3' end, to which the tRNAs corresponding amino acid is attached (by aminoacyl-tRNA synthetases). tRNAs cope with the degeneracy of the genetic code in two manners: having more than one tRNA (with a specific anti-codon) for a particular amino acid; and 'wobble' base-pairing, i.e. permitting non-standard base-pairing at the 3rd anti-codon position. The record is from RNAcentral. Lineage: Bacteria; Pseudomonadati; Bacteroidota; Bacteroidia; Bacteroidales; Prevotellaceae.
GGAGAGAUGGUAGAGUGGUCGAUUACAGCGGUCUUGAAAACCGCCGUGCUGAGAGGCACCGGGGGGGUUCGAAUCCCUCUCUCUCCG